AGAAUUGAUCUGGUUCAGGAUGAACGCUAGCUACAGGCUUAACACAUGCAAGUCGAGGGCAGCAUGUGGUUGCUGCAACCAAUGAUGGCGACCGGCGCACGGGUGAGUAACGCGUAUCCAACCUUCCCUAUAGUAGAGGAUAGCCCGGCGAAAGUCGGAUUAAUACUCUAUGUUUUCCAAUGCAGACAUCUAAGUUGGAACAAAGGUUCACCGCUAUAGGAUGGGGAUGCGUCUGAUUAGAUAGUCGGCGGGGUAACGGCCCACCGAGUCGACGAUCAGUAGGGGUUCUGAGAGGAAGGUCCCCCACAUUGGAACUGAGACACGGUCCAAACUCCUACGGGAGGCAGCAGUGAGGAAUAUUGGUCAAUGGGCGAGAGCCUGAACCAGCCAAGUAGCGUGCAGGAUGACGGCCCUAUGGGUUGUAAACUGCUUUUAUACAGGGAUAAAGUGACGUACGUGUACGUUUUUGUAGGUACUGUAUGAAUAAGGACCGGCUAAUUCCGUGCCAGCAGCGGC
This 516-nucleotide ribosomal RNA is filed under the name uncultured bacterium. RNAcentral describes it as "bacterial SSU rRNA". It matches the Rfam family "Bacterial small subunit ribosomal RNA", at positions 8 to 518 of the family's 1533-position model. The record is from RNAcentral.